GACGAACGCUGGCGGCGUGCCUAAUACAUGCAAGUUGAGCGCUGAAGGUUGGUACUUGUCCCGACUGGAUGAGCAGCGAACGGGUGAGUAACGCGUGGGGAAUCUGCCUUUGAGCGGGGGACAACAUUUGGAAACGAAUGCUAAUACCGCAUAAAAACUUUAAACACAAGUUUUAAGUUUGAAAGAUGCAAUUGCAUCACUCAAAGAUGAUCCCGCGUUGUAUUAGCUAGUUGGUGAGGUAAAGGCUCACCAAGGCGAUGAUACAUAGCCGACCUGAGAGGGUGAUCGGCCACAUUGGGACUGAGACACGGCCCAAACUCCUACGGGAGGCAGCAGUAGGGAAUCUUCGGAAAUGGACGAAAGUCUGACCGAGCAACGCCGCGUGAGUGAAGAAGGUUUUCGGAUCGUAAAACUCUGUUGGUAGAGAAGAACGUUGGUGAGAGUGGAAAGCUCAUCAAGUGACGGUAACUACCCAGAAAGGGACGGCUAACUACGUG
This 497-nucleotide ribosomal RNA is filed under the name uncultured bacterium. Its description in RNAcentral is "partial 16S ribosomal RNA". It matches the Rfam family "Bacterial small subunit ribosomal RNA", at positions 28 to 507 of the family's 1533-position model. The record is from RNAcentral.